RNAcentral lists this ribosomal RNA (501 nucleotides) under uncultured bacterium. RNAcentral's name for it is "partial 16S ribosomal RNA". It matches the Rfam family "Bacterial small subunit ribosomal RNA", at positions 30 to 523 of the family's 1533-position model. The record is from RNAcentral.
AUUGAACGCUGGCGGCAGGCUUAACACAUGCAAGUCGAGCGGAGAGAGGUAGCUUGCUACUGAUCUUAGCGGCGGACGGGUGAGUAAUGCUUAGGAAUCUGCCUAUUAGUUGGGGACAACCUUUCGAAAGGAAUGCUAAUACCGCAUACGUCCUACGGGAGAAAGCAGGGGAUCUUCGGACCUUGCGCUAAUAGAUGAGCCUAAGUCGGAUUAGCUAGUUGGUGGGGUCAAGGCCUACCAAGGCGACGAUCUGUAGCGGGUCUGAGAGGAUGAUCCGCCACACUGGGACUGAGACACGGCCCAGACUCCUACGGGAGGCAGCAGUGGGGAAUAUUGGACAAUGGGCGGAAGCCUGAUCCAGCCAUGCCGCGUGUGUGAAGAAGGCCUUAUGGUUGUAAAGCACUUUAAGCGAGGAGGAGGCUACUUUAGUUAAUACCUAGAGAUAGUGGACGUUACUCGCAGAAUAAGCACCGGCUAACUCUGUGCCAGCCGCCGCCGUAA